This 92-nucleotide transfer RNA is filed under the name Candidatus Wallbacteria bacterium. RNAcentral describes it as "tRNA-Ser". It matches the Rfam family "tRNA". Rfam says of the family: Transfer RNA (tRNA) molecules are approximately 80 nucleotides in length. Their secondary structure includes four short double-helical elements and three loops (D, anti-codon, and T loops). The record is from RNAcentral. Lineage: Bacteria; Candidatus Walliibacteriota.
GGAGAGGUGGCCGAGUGGCUGAAGGCACACGCUUGCUAAGCGUGCGUAGGGCGAAAGUCUUACCGCGGGUUCGAAUCCCGCCCUCUCCGCCA